This 2079-nucleotide long non-coding RNA is filed under the name Daucus carota (carrot). RNAcentral describes it as "long non-coding RNA (DCAR_LNC003594)". The record is from RNAcentral. Lineage: Eukaryota; Viridiplantae; Streptophyta; Magnoliopsida; Apiales; Apiaceae.
AAUUAGCAGAAAUGGUAGAAAAGGGCGAUUAAUGUUGGAGAUAGGGUAUCGUGAUAGAAAUCACUAAUCAGUAAUGUGAAAUUGGCAGAGCUCCAACCUCUUGAAUGUCGGCCUAGUUUCUUGAUGUAAUUUGUUGUUUGUAUAUUGCGUCAGAAUCAUAUCCUUGUUCUUAUCUCAGUUAAUAUAAACUUGUUCAUUUCUUUAUAUGAAAUUCAGAGUAGAUUAAAUCAUUAGUGGUGUUUCGAUUUGUCAAUUAAAGCCUAGUAUCUGGUAGAUAGUUGGAUAUCCAUUGUAUAUAGCAUUUACUUGGAUUGUUUAAUUUUGCAAAGCAUAAAGAGUCAUGCUUAAAUAUAAAAAAAAAGGUUUAGUGCUCGGUGAAAGCUGUGGAUAUUCUGGUGCCUACUUAUGAUUCGCUUCAAAGUGGAUAACUGACUACCUUUAGUACCUUAUAAUUUUUCUGCAGAUUUUCUUUACUCUUGUUCUUCCACUUCUAAUUCUUGGUCUUCUUAUUGGCAAGCAAGCUGAUCACAUUUUUUAGUGAUAAUACAAGUUCUUUACUUGCCGCCACAAGGUCCUAACCUUUUUUUACAAAGAUGCACAUAUUGUAAGCAGAUGAUCAACAACGUUUGAGAAUUUUUUUAAUGUUAGUUAAGCCCCUUAUUUAUCAAAUCCUAGAUCCGUCACUGGUGUCAUGUACACACAAAGAAUGUUUGUACUGCUUUGAGGUAUCCACAAAGUUAGCCUCUAUCUUCGCCUAGGCUUUCAUAAUAUUCAAUUGGGCAAUGUCUAUGUUCAAUGGAAGUCAAGUUGAGGAACAUGAGUUGAGAAUCUCUGUACUUUGCCAGUGCUUUGUCCUUGACUACAUAACACAACUUUGGUGCAUGGUAUUGAGAUUUAGAUUAAGGACAAAUAUAUUUCAGGCAUAUAAGGUGGACAUUUUAUCACUGUUAGGUCUGCAAUAGAUUUGCAUGCUUAUGCCACUAGAACGGUGUAUCAAUUAUGUCUCAUUUUCACAAUAUGCUUUUUCCAAAUUUGAUUGGCCGGUACUUCAGUGGACCAGAUGCAGACCAUUAGCAUCUGUAUAGGCCUGAAAACUUGACAGAAGGGAUAAAAGAGUCCAGUUGUGGAUGUCAACUCUUCAUUGCCAGUGUUUAAGUUGGGCGACUCCACAUAUUCAAGCUCCGUUCUUGAGAAUGCUCAACAGACAGCAAGUAUUUUAUUUUCUAGAUAAAUAUAGAGGUUCUUACACUAUGAGCAUUCAUUCUGCAGGUGCAGAUAUUUUACAAAUCAACAAGUUAUGGUUGGACUAUGUGAUUGUUUAGGUGGGAUAGGCCAACCUGGUUCACUUGGGAAUUGUUGGUCUAUUAUUUCAGUGGUCUUGAGUAGUCGCUUUCAUUAUAUGCAGUUUUUUUUUUAAUUUUCCACUAUAAAUAAAUUUAUUGGUGAGAUAUAGACUUGCAAGACCAAGUUGUUACUUAUGUUAAAAAAAAUGCAGGAAGCAAUUAAUAAUGGAUCCAGAACAACUGAUUUUACCCUGACUUCUGAUUCAAUAUGCCUUGUUUCUCAAAGUAAAUCUUUAAGGUCCUGCUUUAAAUAUUCAACGAUGGUCGGAAAAAUAUUCCUCUCAUUCUUCGGCUUUUCCACAUUAUUCAAUAGCGAUCUUUCAUUACUCUGCAGAGGGUAAAGGACUUAAAAUUUGUGCAGGUUUCGUUGUCAAAAGGAAAGCUUUUUCGGUCCAAUGGCACCCCUGACUCCGGUAACAUGGUCCCUAAAUCUCCAAGUGCUCCAUCCAGCAGAGAAAUAUUGACAUUCUAUCUGAAGAGUGAAGACUACCUUUUCUGCCAUUCCCUUUCUUCUGGUCAAUAUACUACUGAAAGCAACUGGUGCGUCUUCAUUUCCUGUUCAUUUUCUCAGACACGCACUAACAGAGCAUCUAUGUAUGAGGUUUAGUGCCGAACAUUGUUAGUUGUUCAACUAGCAUAAACUCAUUUCUAACACUUAUAAAGUCGCAUAGCUUUUCAUCUAAUAUAUGCAGCUGUGGUGCAAAUGUAAAGCAUGAUUAUUGUUGGGAUGCUCUUG